UGCUGGUGUUUAAUCAGCGUGUGUACCACCUCUUCCCAUUCCGAACAGAGAAGUGAAAGCGCGCUGACUCGAUGAUACUUGGUGCUAAUUCGCGCCUGGGAAAGUAGAGUACGCCGGCAU
This 120-nucleotide ribosomal RNA is filed under the name bacterium. The record is from RNAcentral.